RNAcentral lists this ribosomal RNA (263 nucleotides) under uncultured archaeon. Its description in RNAcentral is "partial 16S ribosomal RNA". It matches the Rfam family "Archaeal small subunit ribosomal RNA", at positions 748 to 1009 of the family's 1478-position model. The record is from RNAcentral.
CAGCCGUAAACUAUGCGCGUUAGGUGUAUCGGUGACCACGAGUUACCGAGGUGCCGAAGGGAAACCGUGAAACGUGCCGCCUGGGAAGUACGGUCGCAAGGCUGAAACUUAAAGGAAUUGGCGGGGGAGCACCACAACAGGUGGAGCCUGCGGUUUAAUUGGACUCAACGCCCGGGAAGGCUCACCGGAUAGGACAGCAGAAUGAUUGCCGGGCUGAAGACCCUGCAUGACUAGCUGAGAGGAGGUGCAUGGCGUAGACGUCU